Molecule: ribosomal RNA, 440 nt
Filed under: uncultured bacterium
Lineage: Bacteria
Description: partial 16S ribosomal RNA
Rfam family: Bacterial small subunit ribosomal RNA
Source: RNAcentral
CCUACGGGUGGCAGCAGUGGGGGAUAUUGCACAAUGGGGGAAACCCUGAUGCAGCGACGCCGCGUGUGGGAAGACGGUCCUCUGGAUUGUAAACCACUGUCCCCAGGGACGAAGAUGACGGUACCUGGGGAGGACGCUCCGGCUAACUACGUGCCAGCAGCCGCGGUAAUACGUAGGGAGCGAGCGUUGUCCGGAAUUACUGGGUGUAAGGGGAGCGUAGGCGGGACUGCAAGUUGGGUGUCAAAUCUACCGGCUCAACCGGUAGCCGCACUCAAAACUGCAGUUCUUGAGUGAAGUAGAGGCAGGCGGAAUUCCUAGUGUAGCGGUGAAAUGCGUAGAUAUUAGGAGGAACACCAGUGGCGAAGGCGGCCUGCUGGGCUUUUACUGACGCUGAGGCUCGAAAGUGUGGGGAGCAAACAGGAUUAGAUACCCCGGUAGUC